CAAUAAUUGAACCUACAGAUUGGUCCAGACCAACCGACGGCCCACAGAGCAGCCAGGCCCACCCCUGCAGUCUCACUCUCUCUGCAGUCCCCGCGAGGGGCCACUGACCAGCCCUGAACAGCACACACGGACUUGGCUUGUGUCUGCUGUGGACAGUCGGCCACGCAGAGCUGGACAGCACGUGCCCAGCAGCCGACCAGCGUGGGUCCUGGAGACCCGCGUUGGUGACACGGGGACAGCUCCCUGUCUGCUCCCUCGGUUAGAGUGUCCAAGGCUGCCCCAGGUCCCUGGUGCGGAAGGCGCACGCUGGGGCACCAAGUCACUAAGAAGGCUCCUCCUUCCCAGGCAGGUCUCAAGGCCAGAGCCGGCUCAUUCCAACCCUGCAGCUGUUCAGGAAGGACAGGGCCAGGCCUGGGGUGGCUCACUGGGGUGGAGCUGAGCAGCCAUCUGUCCACGCCGGCCGGGCCCCUCGGACAGCAGGGGGCGGGGCUGAGCCAGGGAGGCUGCCACUUCCAGGAGAGGGGAGAAGCUGGGGGUGCGGGGAGAGGGCGGCUUGGACGCUGGGCAGCCCUGCCGUGGCCCCCGAGGGAGGGGCCGAGGGACUCAGAGCUCACAGCCCCUACAGGCAGCCUGAGGCCGCCCACCCCGGAUCCCACGGGGUCCGGCCCGUGCCAGCUACUCCGGCUGUGCGGGUCCAUCACUCGCCUGUCUCUGAGGCCCAGCUGGUGGACAGGCAGCUGUGUGCUUUCCUGGGUCUCAGCUGGACGCCGUGGCCACGCUUGAGCACCCCCACGGGGCUCCCACCUCACUGUGCCCCCUGGCAGACAGCCUGGGGGGCCGAGCCCCAGCCCCGGGGCCUUCUGCCUAAUGUGCAGCCCAACACCGCUGAGCCUCACGGUAAGGCGUCCCCGAGGCGGGCGCCUCACGGCGAGACGUCCCCAGGCGGGCAGGAGGACUGAGACCCGGCAGCGCUGUUCGGGAUCCCGGCUCCGGGGUCUCUCCAGAGGUCUC
RNAcentral lists this long non-coding RNA (1011 nucleotides) under Oryctolagus cuniculus (rabbit). Its description in RNAcentral is "lncRNA (ENSOCUG00000033687.1)". Lineage: Eukaryota; Metazoa; Chordata; Mammalia; Lagomorpha; Leporidae. The record is from RNAcentral.